AACGAAGCACAGAUGUAGAAUUUCUUCGGAAAGGAAGCGCCUGUGACUGAGUGGCGGACGGGUGAGUAACGCGUGGGCAACCUGCCCCAUACCGGGGGACAACAGCUGGAAACGGCUGCUAAUACCGCAUACGUUUUCGGUGCCGCAUGGCGCCGAAAAGAAAACUCCGGUGGUAUGGGAUGGGCCCGCGUCUGAUUAGCUAGUUGGGAGGGUAACGGCCUACCAAGGCGACGAUCAGUAGCCGGCCUGAGAGGGCGACCGGCCACAUUGGGACUGAGACACGGCCCAGACUCCUGCGGGAGGCAGCAGUGGGGAAUAUUGCACAAUGGGGGGAACCCUGAUGCAGCGACGCCGCGUGAGCGAAGAAGUACCUCGGUAUGUAAAGCUCUAUCAGCAGGGAAGAAAGUGACAGUACCUGACUAAGAAGCCCCGGCUAACUACGUGCCAGCAGCCGCGGUAAUACGUAGGGGGCAAGCGUUAUCCGGAUUCACUGGGCGUAAAGGGAGCGCAAGCGGCGCGGCAAGUCUGAUGUGAAAGCCCGGGGCUCAACCCCCG
This 555-nucleotide ribosomal RNA is filed under the name uncultured bacterium. Its description in RNAcentral is "bacterial SSU rRNA". It matches the Rfam family "Bacterial small subunit ribosomal RNA", at positions 50 to 618 of the family's 1533-position model. The record is from RNAcentral.